This 628-nucleotide ribosomal RNA is filed under the name uncultured bacterium. RNAcentral describes it as "bacterial SSU rRNA". It matches the Rfam family "Bacterial small subunit ribosomal RNA", at positions 201 to 847 of the family's 1533-position model. The record is from RNAcentral.
GAAAAGGAUUUAUUCGCUUCAGGAUGGACUCGCGUCCAAUUAGCUAGUUGGUGAGGUAACGGCCCACCAAGGCGACGAUUGGUAGCCGGACUGAGAGGUUGAACGGCCACAUUGGGACUGAGACACGGCCCAGACUCCUACGGGAGGCAGCAGUGGGGGAUAUUGCACAAUGGGGGAAACCCUGAUGCAGCGACGCCGCGUGGAGGAAGAAGGUUUUCGGAUUGUAAACUCCUGUCGUUAGGGACGAUAAUGACGGUACCUAACAAGAAAGCACCGGCUAACUACGUGCCAGCAGCCGCGGUAAAACGUAGGGUGCAAGCGUUGUCCGGAAUUACUGGGUGUAAAGGGAGCGCAGGCGGACCGGCAAGUUGGAAGUGAAAACUAUGGGCUCAACCCAUAAAUUGCUUUCAAAACUGCUGGCCUUGAGUAGUGCAGAGGUAGGUGGAAUUCCCGGUGUAGCGGUGGAAUGCGUAGAUAUCGGGAGGAACACCAGUGGCGAAGGCGACCUACUGGGCAUCAACUGACGCUGAGGCUCGAAAGCAUGGGUAGCAAACAGGAUUAGAUACCCUGGUAGUCCAUGCCGUAAACGAUGAUUACUAGGUGUUGGAGGAUUGACCCCUUCAGUGCC